RNAcentral lists this long non-coding RNA (2793 nucleotides) under Triticum aestivum (bread wheat). Its description in RNAcentral is "long non-coding RNA (TAES_LNC009951)". Lineage: Eukaryota; Viridiplantae; Streptophyta; Magnoliopsida; Poales; Poaceae. The record is from RNAcentral.
UAUGCCCUCUUUCUUCUCCAAUCUACUGUCCUGUUUGCUGCUCUGCUGAUGGUUGUGUCUGCUGCUAUUCGGUCUGGCCGCUGCCGUCGGGGCCGUCCUCCUGGGAUUCGGGCAGCCGUUAUUGCCCACGUGCACCGUGCUGCCAGUCGCCUACCUUCGGAUUUGCCAUCGGCGACGGCAGCCGCUGGUGCGCGUGGUCGCCCGGGUGCAGUUGAUUCGGCAUGUCGUCCUCGGUUUGGUUCUCGCCGAGCGUUUCGUUCUUCCCGGAGUGGUGAGUUCCUUUGCCUUCCUGUAUUUGUAGAUCUCUCCGUAUUGAUUUCAUGCUUCUUCGUUUGGUUUGUGCGUUUUCUUAAUUGGUUGCUUCAUGCUGUAGCCGACCACCGAUUCGACUCGUGGCAUGGUGCCAAUCUGGACGUUGAUAGUCGCCGUCGGGAAAUUUUAUUAGGCAAGCGGCCUGUAGAUUGCACCAUUGGUGAGUGCAUUCAAUCUUUUGCUACGUGUAUGAGAGUGCCUGUGCGUGUUUCUGGUUGGUCCGUUGCGUUUCUCCAAGACUUUGCUGUUGGCAUGUCCCUCUACGACUCCUCGACCGUCGGGCCCCCGUUUUCCUUCCCGGAGCUGGCCACUCCAUCGCCCUUCCGACAGACGCAUCCCCUCCGCCUUCGCUUUGCGUAUGUGGGAUCACACUACCACUGAUCAUAUGGCUGGUUCCUCAGGUCGGGCACCAGAUGCUCCGAACCUGCCAUAUCAUGCUCGGCUAUGGCGGGAACGAGACGAUCGCCUGGGCCACCUCCCAUGGUCCUCGGCAACUCCAAAUAAGAGGUGAGAAAUCACGCACACCCGCAUGUGUUCGAUAUCGUGUGCAAUGAUCAUAGUAGAGCUUCUGGGUCUCGAUCAUCACAAACGUGAACAUGACAGGAAGGACAGACGGCGUAGGAAAGGCGCGCGAUCGAGAGACGGCCGCCUCUGGCAUCACAAGACCUCGAUGUCGCCAUGGCAGUCAGACGCGUGAUGCGUCCGACAACGCGCCCUCACUCUCAGACAAGUUGCAGCCGUUCUCCGACGACGACGCUUGCGGCUUGCCCAGCCGCCCUACGCAGCCCUCCCGCCCUCAGCGUGCGAGGUCGCUACGGCCCGGCUACCUUGCGCCCUCUCGCUGUCUCUCUGACCGCAGCCCGGCGCCGCCUUCCAGCGUAGAUGGGAGGCCGCCGCCUUGAGCUCGCGCCAGCCCUGCUGCAAGUCAGCCAUGGACGAGGUCGACCUGCACAGACGGGAGACGGCGCAGAGUGUUGGCCGCGCUUGCCGCCGUGGCGAUGGGCAUGGCCAGGCCAAUACGAUGAUGGACGAGAUGGUCUACAUCAUGAACAACAAGUAAGUGCACGAUGACACCCUUGCGGCCUCGCCAAAACCCCUGUGCCCCAGGCCGUAUCUCUGGCUACUCCUCCAGCGGCUCCGCCGUCGCCGUCGCCUGAAGCCUAGCUGACUUCGCCCUGGGCACAGAAAGUGGCGGCAGCGUCAGGGUGCCCGCUGCCUAUUGCGGCAUCUGCAGGCUCCGGCCCUCCCACGGACUGGUGUGCACUGAAUAUGUCGUCCUGGUGGCACAUAUGUUCGACACUGUCGGUUUCAGUUAUGCUUAUGCGAUAUUUGCCCCGCGAUGGAGCCAGUCGAACGUAUGUUGCUUUCACUGCAGGGCCGGGUCGAGCUGUGGAAUGCCCUGGGGCUACUCACUAAAGCACUAUACUCCUCCUACUCAUUGUCUUUCUUCCCUUCGAGGUUUAGGACAGUUCGUAAUACGCGUCUUCGAUAGUAUGCACAUCUCCAAAACAGUAUCCUGCAUGAGCAUUGCAGAGGUGUGGACCAAAGACGUUGUCAUGAAGGGCUUGACAUAUUCCUCAAAAAAAAAGUGUGAGUUGAGUGCUUCAGAUUAUCUCAUGUUUUCAAGGCCUCAAAACAAUGAUCCAUGCAGCCCAUCAUUUUUUAUCUGACACAGCAAGUGUCUGACUUUGCAAUAGUGUCCUUUUCUCAAAAAAAAAAAAGCAAGUGUCCUAGAAAUUAGAUAGAUUUUAUUUUUCAUGUCUGCAACUUACUUUGAUAAGGUUCAUCGAUCUGCUAAUACAAACGUCCAUGGCUGGGACAAAUUAGGUGUUUGUGUGUCAAGUCUCGGUGUGUUAUGGGAUGCAGUUCCACUCUGUGUGGUGAGCCAACUUUUGACUGGUUGUAAAUAUAUAUAUAUAGUUUCUUAAUAUAUAAGACGGUUUUUUUUUAUUGUAAAAAUAUUUUUUUUAAAUAUAAAUCCCCAUUUCAUCAAAAAGGGAAAAAGAAAUUGUGAGCUUGCUGUUGUUAUCCCCUGUUUUUUUGUGAAUAAUGUUGUGUAUACAGUUUUACUAUGGAAAAGUUGUGGUUGUGUGGCCAUGUGGAUAUUCCUGUUACUUUUUCUGUUCCAUGCGAUAUGACUACUUGAGAUGUUUUAAUGAGUCAGGGAACAUAUAAAACACAUCCAGCGUAAAAUAUGAAGCUAUACAUAAACCACCAACGACGCGCGACGAGAACUGGCGGUCUCGCGAAGUAAGGGCAUAUCCAUGCACUUAAUUUCAUCUUUAAUUCCACAUCCUUAUAAUUUUCUAAAGUGCAGAAUCCCAUCUAGGGACUUCCAGUAUUUUCUCUUUCAUCGGUAACUUCCACUUGAAUCCGUUCCCAAUGGAAGGUGUGUGAUAUAUACUACAUCCCUUUUUGCAUAUCCUAUUUUUGAAAAUAUGCGUCGCUUAUCUACCAUUGAUGACUCUAACUUCAUAUCAG